CGGGCCGUCGUAUACUGGUAGUAUUCAUGUUUUGGGAACAUGAGGACCGGGUUCGAUUCCCGGCGGCCCGACCG
RNAcentral lists this transfer RNA (74 nucleotides) under Candidatus Harrisonbacteria bacterium CG10_big_fil_rev_8_21_14_0_10_45_28. Its description in RNAcentral is "tRNA-Pro". It matches the Rfam family "tRNA". From Rfam's summary of the family: Transfer RNA (tRNA) molecules are approximately 80 nucleotides in length. Lineage: Bacteria; Candidatus Harrisoniibacteriota. The record is from RNAcentral.